This is a long non-coding RNA of Scophthalmus maximus (turbot), 3293 nucleotides long. RefSeq lists it as uncharacterized. The transcript is spliced from 3 exons. Lineage: Eukaryota; Metazoa; Chordata; Actinopteri; Pleuronectiformes; Scophthalmidae. The record is from RefSeq and is a predicted model, not a curated record.
CAGAAAUACGACCUGUGGUUGUUACGCAAGCUGGUUGAAUGGAGUCUCACCGAGCGCACGUGGACGACUCGUGGUGACGAGUGGGGAAAUUGGGCAAAAAGGCUCGGAAGGAACUCAAAUAAUCAGCCAACUUUCCUGACUUUCCCGCAGGACACUUUGAAAUGAUGCAAGAUGGUCGUUUGACAGCAGCCUGGCUCUCUACAUUCAGUUGACCUAUAGGCACAGUGGGCAGACUCCUGGUUGCCCCCUGUGUUCCUCGCUGGCUCGCUGACUCGACCCACGGGAACGUGUGUCCCACCGCGUCACCUCGUUUCAUGAAGAGCUGGGGGGAGUGCGAACUGCACAGCUGAGGCUCAGGGAGCUCCACACCGUUGGACACCGGCCGCUUGUCAAACGACAAUGUGGGAUUUUCCAUUUGUACGUCAAACACAAGGUUCGCCGAGCACAGGCUCCGGCCCCUUUGAUGGAGCUGAGGUGAGCAACGAAAGUAGAAUAAGAAGUCAUUUUGUGGUACACUUAAUAUAAUAUUAUAUAACGGAAAUUGUAUGUAUGUUUUCGAGUUUCCCCAACACAGCUCAGCAGUAAACCGUUUCCCGUAAUAAUAUCCGGGCGGACCUUGAGAUACGUUUACACGUGUCCUCAGAAAACCAUAAUUCCAGUCUUACAUUGUUAAAUAUAAUAAGACUGUCAAACAGCAGUAAUGGUGUUUGACAGUGUUGUUACUAUCAGAAAUGUGAUAUCCUCGUUUCUAACCAUGUGUUGGCACACAAACCAACCCAGCUUAGAAAUGGAACUCAAAUAAACCGGGACACUUUUGGCAUUCCCACUCCCAUGGGUUUCAAGCGAUGGCACUGUACGGCCGAGGUCAGAGCGAGCCGAGGGACGAGCUGCAGGCCGCUGCGCUCCGAGUGCCAGGUCGCUCGAUGAGUCAUGAGCAGAACCCGUUUUACAACCAUUCUCCCUUUCAUUUCCUGUCUGGAUGACCCAAACCUCUCUGGAGGGUAGCUUGUAAUAUAGCCCCGGCUUGGUUUGGACACCAUCUCCGCCCUUCGUUUGUAGACAGGAUGUUUAACCGGACCGCCGGGAGAGGUCACCUGGGGGGCUGGGGUUACUUUCCCCCCAGAUGGUGCAACAACAACAGUGCGUUUGACUUGGUGAAGAUAGUGAUAAACACUGCUCACCAUUACAGCAUAAUACUUAUCACUGAUCGAGCGUAAAUCCUCAUGAAAACAAACUUGGGGCGAUUUUCAUGGUUUCUCUGCGGACGAAGGAUUACAUGACCUCCUCUGUGGGUCAAGCUAAAUUCUCUGGCCCCUGUCCGCCUUAUAAAACAUUGAUCUGAUCCACUCGGGGAGCAAAAACAAGCAUUGAAAAAACUGAUGUUUAUCUCAGCUGUUGCGAAGCUCAUAUUUUGGAGAUUGCAAGGUUUUCGGCCAAAUGCGAGGUUGCGCAAAGUGCUUCGGUAACUUCCACGUCUUUUUUAGGUUUGACAGCAACAACGUGAUUGGCCAAUUGAGAUCGAUGUAGAAUCGCAUUGAGUUGUCUGAAACGCCGAUAGUGCGUUUGUGUGUGCGAGAGAGAAUUGUGAAUAUAUGGGUCCCGAUUAAACUCAAACAUUGCAGAACCAAAAAUAUUAUAAUAUAGUACAAGGCCGUAACAAAUAAGAUCAGACUAGUGAUCGACACCUGUUCUUAUUGUAAAUUUGUUCUGACCCUUCGCCUCAAAUCUUGACAAUGCCUCCCUCCUUCUUCCUCUUCACACUUUUUGAAGAUACGAGCUUGGAGUUCAUUUGCCUUUUUAACGUGCUUGUCACCUCCUGUGUCUUUAUGUCUCAGUGUCCUGUUUUCUAGUUGUAAACGACAAGCAUAUUUAGGGAUGUAAAAGCCCAACUAGAGGGCCGCAGGGUCUGACGCCCCUAAAUAUAUUGCUCUGUACAUUUGCGGCCACCACAGUGAAGGAGUUAUGCUUGAAAAGCCAACAAGUCGGGCACAGACGGAGACUUUAAAAGACGAGUGCUGCCAGGAGCUUCGUUUUAAUGUUUUAUUGGCACAGACUACCAAUUUUCAACAUACCUCUCUCCUCAAGCGCUCAUUAAAGCUAAAAUGACUCCAGUUAAAGGCUUAUACACCACCGUAUCGCAGCGGCUUCACGGUGAAAGCGCGGCUCCUGAAAGCCUUUCCUGUUUUUCCAUGGGACACGUCUCCAUGCACCGGCGAUGGGGCAGCUACACAGCUACUGUAUACUUACCUGGGAUAACGAUGACAGUAAUUAUCAGGUUUUUCCACCGUCAUACCUGUGCCGGCGGAAUCCCUGUCACACUGUACACACCUGCCCGAGCACAGGUAAGUACAACACCCUCCUGCGCUGCUGCAAUUCUUCAGCUCAAAUGAUAGAUGCUUCCACACCGUGAGCUGGAACUUUGGAAAUGGAUGACCAGUGGGUAGGGGAAUGGUUUGACUGGAACUGGGAGAACGAUGAUUUGGUCCGUCUCUACACUGUGUUUAACCUUUUCAGUGUAUGAAUCAAAUGGCCACAUUUUGGCAUGGCCAUUGGGGUUGGGCAGCAUUAUAAGUAUGAUUCGAGGAAUGGGUCCAUAUUUUGGGAGCUUAAGAGUUAAGAUGAUGGUGACACCUUUCUCACGUCUGAGAGCUAGUUGGUUAUUAGCUUAGCUUGGUAUAAGGAUUGGAACUGAUGGAACGAACAAGAUACAAUACGUUAUUUGGACCACGCUUACCUCUGUUCCCCUUAGCUUCUGUAACGUACUGCAGUCGCUUCUUCACCAUUGCUUUUGUCUGGUCUUUCUGGAUAAAAUGAAGCAUGUCCUUAGGGUUACUGUCCAUAUUCUGAAAUAAUUUGCAAUUAGCCUAAACAACAGUUACUUAAAAAGUUACCGUUGCCAUGGAAAUGAUGGAACUAAACAUCUUCAUAACUUGGUUUCAUCUUUUUCAUGGUGUUCGCCAAUAAUCCCUUCGAAUGUCAUCUUCCCAAAAACUUCUCCAUCAUUCGGUUUCAUUUAUUCGUGUUUCUACCAAUAUGGAAUUUCCAGUUUCACUUCUGCUUGCUGCUCAUGGAUGUAUUUUUGAUCUUUGGAAUGGAGCCAUGCUGGAGCGGUUUCCCCCUGCUUCCAGUCUUUAGGCUAUGCUAAAAUAAGCUAAGGUGCAGGAAAAAGCAUCUGACUUGAAAAAAACAUCUUUGCUAAAAUUUGAAACUAUACCUUUAUAAAACUUGUUUUCUAAGUGUGAUCACUCACAACAGCAUCAAACAGCCAGUGUGUCAAUUGUACCAGUUUUCAG